UUUGUUUGGUUAGGGUCUAACGACGUCAAGUGUGGGGGUGUAACGGUGAGAGAAUCUAAAAUUUGUGGAUGAGAAUACCAGUUUUAUCUCUUUCUCUGUUCCUCUGUCUCUCCCACACACAAUUGAACUCAAACUCAAGAAGAAAGACAAGAAUGAGAAAGUUUCGUUGACUCAGACCCAAGAAUCAAUCUGUUGACGUGACACACAAACAAUGAUCUUAACAAUGAAACUUCUUCACCCACUCUCUCUCUCCCUUCACUACUCUUCCACCAAGUUCACUAUGUUGCAAAAUGGAAAGGGAUAACGUUCAUGAGAAGCCAACAAGGACUUGGUGUUGGAGGUGGAAUGCCUAACGGGUUUGACGUUGGACCGUCAGAGAAAGGGAAUGUUCUGAAAGGACUUGACCUCGGCGUUGAAGGGAUGCGUGUUGGUGCAAAUGAAAGACUUUACAUAAACUCAAAAGUAUGUUUUGAUAUACAGAGAUUGGUGAUUGUUCCUCCUGAGCUUGCUUAUGGGAAGAAAGGAGUGCAAGAGAUGUAAAUGCAAGAACUAACCCACAAAGUAAAGCACAGAGUACACCAGAGAAUAUCUUUACAAAGAUAUGUGUUAUUACUAGUAUUCUUUUAAAGUGAACUUACAAGUUUCUCUUUAAACAAAACUCGAACAAG
Brassica oleracea var. oleracea is the source of this 668-nucleotide RNA transcript. It is a transcript of the gene named peptidyl-prolyl cis-trans isomerase FKBP16-4, chloroplastic-like, with no coding region annotated. Lineage: Eukaryota; Viridiplantae; Streptophyta; Magnoliopsida; Brassicales; Brassicaceae. The transcript is spliced from 3 exons. The record is from RefSeq and is a predicted model, not a curated record.